GAAGAAGUGAAUUAAGGGCAUUUGGUGGAUGCCUUGGCAUGCACAGGCGAAGAAGGACGUGAUACGCUGCGAAAAGCCGUGGGGAGCUGCGAAUAAGCUUUGAUCCAUGGAUCUCCGAAUGGGGCAACCCACCUUAAAUGCUUGGAAAAUCCAGUCUGUUUUAUGAACGGCCUGGGUUUCCAAGCAUUGUGAUAAGGUAUCUUACUUUCGAAUACAUAGGGGUAAGAAGCGAACGCAGGGAACUGAAACAUCUAAGUACCUGCAGGAAAGGACAUCAACCGAGACUCCGUAAGUAGUGGCGAGCGAACGCGGACCAGGCCAGUGGCAAUGAUGAAUAAAGCGGAACGAUUUGGAAAAGUCGGCCAUAGAGGGUGAUAGCCCCUUACGCGUAGAACAGUCAUUGUCCUUGAGUAGGGCGGGGCACGUGAAAUCCUGUCUGAACAUGGGGAGACCACUCUCCAAGCCUAAGUACUCGUGCAUGACCGAUAGCGAACAAGUACCGUGAGGGAAAGGUGAAAAGCACCCCGACGAGGGGAGUGAAAUAGAACCUGAAACCGGAUGCCUACAAACAGUCGGAGCCCGCAAGGGUGACGGCGUACCUUUUGUAUAAUGGGUCAACGACUUAGUGU
This 629-nucleotide ribosomal RNA is filed under the name Agrobacterium sp. S2/73. RNAcentral's name for it is "partial 23S ribosomal RNA". It matches the Rfam family "Bacterial large subunit ribosomal RNA", at positions 1 to 634 of the family's 2925-position model. The record is from RNAcentral. Lineage: Bacteria; Pseudomonadati; Pseudomonadota; Alphaproteobacteria; Hyphomicrobiales; Rhizobiaceae.